AGUGAACGCUGGCGGCAGGCCUAACACAUGCAAGUCGAACGGCAGCACGGGCUUCGGUCUGGUGGCGAGUGGCGAACGGGUGAGUAAUGUAUCGGAACGUACCUUUCAGUGGGGGGAUAACGUAGCGAAAGUUACGCUAAUACCGCAUAUUCUGUGAGCAGGAAAGCAGGGGAUCGCAAGACCUUGCGCUGAUUGAGCGGCCGAUAUCAGAUUAGCUAGUUGGUGAGGUAAAGGCUCACCAAGGCGACGAUCUGUAGCGGGUCUGAGAGGAUGAUCCGCCACACUGGAACUGAGACACGGUCCAGACUCCUACGGGAGGCAGCAGUGGGGAAUUUUGGACAAUGGGGGCAACCCUGAUCCAGCCAUGCCGCGUGAGUGAAGAAGGCCUUCGGGUUGUAAAGCUCUUUCGGCCGGGAAGAAAUCGUAUGGGUUAAUACCCUGUGCGGAUGACGGUACCGGCAUAAGAAGCACCGGCUAACUACGUGCCAGCCGCCGCCGUAA
RNAcentral lists this ribosomal RNA (501 nucleotides) under uncultured bacterium. RNAcentral describes it as "partial 16S ribosomal RNA". It matches the Rfam family "Bacterial small subunit ribosomal RNA", at positions 29 to 523 of the family's 1533-position model. The record is from RNAcentral.